CUGAUAGCCCUGGAAACUGAAACUGUAUACCUACAAAACAGGUACAGCAUGGGGUGUGGAAGUGUAAUCUUAUCCCACACUGUAGAGUCUGCCUCAGGCUGGAGCCAGAGUGACAGUUCAGUCUCUGGCUCCCACCACACUUGAAACCA
This is an unclassified non-coding RNA of Apteryx haastii (Great spotted kiwi), 149 nucleotides long. The record is from Ensembl. Lineage: Eukaryota; Metazoa; Chordata; Aves; Apterygiformes; Apterygidae.